RNAcentral lists this ribosomal RNA (459 nucleotides) under uncultured bacterium. RNAcentral's name for it is "partial 16S ribosomal RNA". It matches the Rfam family "Bacterial small subunit ribosomal RNA", at positions 338 to 795 of the family's 1533-position model. The record is from RNAcentral.
CCUACGGGUGGCAGCAGUGAGGAAUAUUGGUCAAUGGCCGGAAGCCUGAACCAGCCAAGCCGCGUGAAGGACGAAGGUGCCAAGCAUUGUAAACUUCUUUUGUCAAGGGACAAAAUCAGGCUCGAGAGCCUGACCGAGGGUACUUGAAGAAAAAGCAUCGGCUAACUCCGUGCCAGCAGCCGCGGUAAUACGGAGGAUGCGAGCGUUAUCCGGAUUUAUUGGGUUUAAAGGGUGCGUAGGCGGGCUGUGAAGUCGGCGGUAAAAGCCCGGGGCUAAACCCCGGCGAGCCGUUGAAACUGGCCGUCUUGAGAUGUCGAGAGGUAGGCGGAAUGCGCAGUGUAGCGGUGAAAUGCUUAGAUAUUGCGCAGAACUCCGAUUGCGAAGGCAGCAUACCGGCGGCGAUCUGACGCUGAGGCACGAAAGCGUGGGUAUCGAACAGGAUUAGAUACCCGAGUAGUC